Long non-coding RNA from Mytilus trossulus (common blue mussel), 828 nucleotides. RefSeq lists it as uncharacterized. The record is from RefSeq and is a predicted model, not a curated record. NCBI's taxonomy places the organism in Eukaryota, Metazoa, Mollusca, Bivalvia, Mytilida, Mytilidae. The transcript is spliced from 3 exons.
UUUCAUUGAUUUUAUUAUUUUAAUCACUUCUCUGUAUAGUUAAUCAUUAUUACUUAUUGAUCAGUUUAUCUAUGUAUUAUUUAAUCAUUAGAGUAUUGAGUAUUAAUCAGCUAUGCUUGACCGCACAGUGGUAACUGUUUCUACCUAUACAAUUUAUAUAUCAUUAGUUAGAAAGCUCAGGUGAAUUUCUCUGUGGUCAGAAUUAUCUGUGUUCUCAUUGGUUAAUUGGGACAUACCCCCAGAUUUGAAAUGGGUAUUGUUUGAGUAAAAUGGAGAAUUUAUAUUUACUUUAGUUUGUGCCAUUUCUAUAUUGUUUGGAAUGGAAUGAUAUUUCAUUGAUAGUCAUUUGCAGUAUUUUGGACAUAUGGAAUUUAGUAUAUUCACUUUAUAAGGACCCAUUGAUCAUACAGACAUAUAUUUGAUGUUAGAAGUAGAGCAUUGGUUAUAAUGCUAAUGUAGUGCUGUUGAUGUUAUAGCCUGAUUCCAUAAAUCGGGCUGUAUUUAUUAUAUUUCUUGAAUAUUAAUAAAGUAUGAAGAACCCUAAACAGAGUGUUGUUAUACGAGCAUUAAAACCACCCUGUAAUAUUGGCGCCCAACGUGUGUUUCUGGUGGAUUAAAGAAACAGAAUUUGAUGACAUUUUCCGAAGCUGAAGCUGUUUUACUACACAUUACGAUAUACAGGAAAUUACUGGUGUAAAUAGAGUUCACCUACAGUUAUGUUGUACAUGAUUGAAUUUAAACACAUGUAUAUAAAUAAACUGAUUUAUAAAUAGAUUCAUUAUAUAUAUAGAAUGGUGAUUCACAGUUAGAUGAUUUCUAAAUAUACUG